UAAGGAGGUUCAUCUCUCACCGUCUCCACCAUCAUUACAUAAUUAGAUUUAAGGAGGUUCAUCUCUCACCGUCUCCACCAUCAUUACAUAAUUAGCUUUAAGGAAGAACAUCUCACACCAUUUCCACCAUCAUCACAUAAUUAUAUUUAAGGAGGUUCAUCUCUCACCGUCUCCACCAUCAUUACAUAAUUAGAUUUAAGGAGGUUCAUCUCUCCCCGUCUCCACCAUCAUUACAUAAUUAUAUUUAAGGAGGUUCAUCUCUCACCGUCUCCACCAUCAUUACAUAAUUAGAUUUAAGGAGGUUCAUCUCUCACCGUCUCCACCAUCAUUACAUAAUUAGCUUUAAGGAAGAACAUCUCACACCAUUUCCACCAUCAUCACAUAAUUAUAUUUAAGGAGGUUCAUCUCUCACCGUCUCCACCAUCAUUACAUAAUUAGAUUUAAGGAGGUUCAUCUCUCACCGUCUCCACCAUCAUUACAUAAUUAGAUUUAAGGAGGUUCAUCUCUCCCCGUCUCCACCAUCAUUACAUAAUUAGCUUUAAGGAAGAACAUCUCACACCAUUUCC
Molecule: long non-coding RNA, 566 nt
Organism: Oncorhynchus keta (chum salmon)
Lineage: Eukaryota; Metazoa; Chordata; Actinopteri; Salmoniformes; Salmonidae
Exons: 3
Source: RefSeq, a predicted model, not a curated record